Molecule: long non-coding RNA, 265 nt
Organism: Panicum virgatum (switchgrass)
Lineage: Eukaryota; Viridiplantae; Streptophyta; Magnoliopsida; Poales; Poaceae
Exons: 3
Source: RefSeq, a predicted model, not a curated record
GAGUGUUUCUUCUUUAUACUGAUUGUGCUUUUUGAAAAGUAGUUUCUUAGGACUCAAUAUUCCUUUUGAUUGAAACAAAACGUUAUCAUAAACGACUUUAAGAGCAUUGAGGGGGAUAGAGCUAUGGGGCUUCAGUCACUUCCUGUUGCUUUUGGGAUGGAAACUGCAAAAUGGAUAUGUGUUGGAGCAAUUGACAUCACUCAAUUAUCUGUUGCAGGCUACCUGUUUAGCACUGGCAAGCUAUAUUAUGCCCGGGCACUGCUUG